This 332-nucleotide ribosomal RNA is filed under the name uncultured Chloroflexota bacterium. RNAcentral describes it as "bacterial SSU rRNA". It matches the Rfam family "Bacterial small subunit ribosomal RNA", at positions 28 to 351 of the family's 1533-position model. Lineage: Bacteria; Bacillati; Chloroflexota. The record is from RNAcentral.
GAUGAACGCUGGCGGCGUGCCUAAUACAUGCAAGUCGAACGAGUGAGAGCGAUCUCGCGAGUGGCGAACGGGUGAGUAACGCGUUGGUGACCUGCCCCGAAGUGUGGGAUACCAGGCCGAAAGGCUUGCUAAUACCGCAUGCGCAACCGAGGAUUAGACGGUCGGUUGGAAAGGAGAUGCUUCGUAAGGAGCGCUUCGCUUUGGGAGGGGCCUGCGUCCCAUCAGCUAGUUGGUAAGGUAACGGCUUACCAAGGCGAUGACGGGUAGGGGACCUGAGAGGGUGACCCCCCACAAUGGAACUGAAACACGGUCCAUACACCUACGGGUGGCAG